Long non-coding RNA from Nothoprocta perdicaria, 286 nucleotides. RefSeq lists it as uncharacterized. NCBI's taxonomy places the organism in Eukaryota, Metazoa, Chordata, Aves, Tinamiformes, Tinamidae. The transcript is spliced from 2 exons. The record is from RefSeq and is a predicted model, not a curated record.
GAUCCCUUCUUGGUUUACCUUGAACCUAUUAGCUCUCAUCUCUCUAAAUUAUUCCCAGCCUGGCUGGUUACUUGACGACUUUCAGCUCUGUGUGGAGAUUGUUGUCCUUUGUUGAUAAGCAAUCGGUACUGAAACAAAUUCCAGCUGGCACCAACUGACAUGUGGCAGCAUAGACGUCUCGACGUGGAAGAUCUGUGUGAACAGGUCUAUUCUCACUCCUUUUACCAAUGUUUACCAAAAAAGUACUUCCAGAGGCAAGGGAAGGAUGCACCAAAGAGGAAUGAGA